Molecule: long non-coding RNA, 1075 nt
Filed under: Homo sapiens (human)
Lineage: Eukaryota; Metazoa; Chordata; Mammalia; Primates; Hominidae
Description: HSALNT0295333
Source: RNAcentral
CACGCAAAUUGGGGCGGGCCUAGUGCGGAAAGAUACCGGAAGUGUUUCUGUGGCCAUCUUGAACAGAUCGCAAGCUAAAUCAUCCAUCUUAGGAGGUACAGACUACAGGGGGCCGUGGCUUCCUCUUAACCGCGGCAGCUGCUGAUAAAUACUGUACUAUUAACAGUGAGGCCCGGCGUAAUUUCCUUAUUAGAGGGCUUCUUUACGUCUCUUCAUCCCAAACUGGGAAAUGAUGCUGUUGACUGGGGCAAAGAAUAAUGGGAGAAAAACAGCUGGGUCCUAAAUAACAGAGGGAAACCAACUUUCAAUAAAGUAUUCAACAACUAAUCCACAAAGCAGAUAACUGAACUUGCUGGCCUGCUCUAUAGUGCUGUUGCUUAAAAAGUCAUCUGUGAAGAAAACCAGAGGGAGAAAUUUCACCUGCCAAAGUGGAUAAAGAGAUUGCAGGUGAGGAUAUUGUGGCUCAGAGAAGUAAUUCGACUUGUCCAACAUCAUAUGCAAUUGGUGGUGGAGCUAAGGCAAGAAAGAUACUGACAUUUAAUGAACAUAAACUAUGCAAUGUACUGUAGUGCAUGUCUUAUUUACAAUCACAAUCACUAACUAGAUUUUGUUAUUUUAGGGAUAAGGAAACAGAUGCUGAGGGAAGCUAGAAAAAUGGCCAAAAUUAAAUAGCUAAGAGAUGGCAAAGUGGAAUUCAGAGUUUAAGCAUAGGUGUUCUGAUUCCCAAUAUUUUUAUCUUUUUACUAUGCCACAUUGUUGGGUAAAUUUCUGAGUUCACUUAUUCUAAGUAGAGGAAGGGAAUAAGAGAGAGUGGGAUGGGCAAGUCUCUUUGCCUCCCAUUAGAGUGAGAAAGAGUUAGGAUACAUGCAGAAAAUUAGCAAACUGAGAAGUCCAGUUGGGGGAAUUAAGAAAAUUACCCUUGUUGGUAUAAUAUGUCAGACUGGGUUCCUCUGAUUACUUUGCACACACACACACACUUGCACACAUGCACACACACACACUCUACAUACCCUUUAUCAUGUGGUCACCAGGCCAUUUUUGCUUAGGUGAGAUUAUAUUAACUGCUUCCCCCCAU